AUACUUACCUGGCAGGGGAGAUACCAUGAUCAGGAAGUUGGUUUUCCCAGGGCAAGGCUUAUCCAUUGCACUCCGGAUGUGCUGACCCCUGAGAUUUCCCCAAAUGUGGGAAACUCGACUACAUAAUUCGUAGUAGUGGGGGACUGUGUUCUCGCUUUCCCCUG
This is a small nuclear RNA of Callithrix jacchus (white-tufted-ear marmoset), 164 nucleotides long. Its record names the gene U1. It matches the Rfam family "U1 spliceosomal RNA". Rfam says of the family: U1 is a small nuclear RNA (snRNA) component of the spliceosome (involved in pre-mRNA splicing). Its 5' end forms complementary base pairs with the 5' splice junction, thus defining the 5' donor site of an intron. There are significant differences in sequence and secondary structure between metazoan and yeast U1 snRNAs, the latter being much longer (568 nucleotides as compared to 164 nucleotides in human). The record is from Ensembl. NCBI's taxonomy places the organism in Eukaryota, Metazoa, Chordata, Mammalia, Primates, Cebidae.